RNAcentral lists this ribosomal RNA (253 nucleotides) under uncultured bacterium. RNAcentral describes it as "partial 16S ribosomal RNA". It matches the Rfam family "Bacterial small subunit ribosomal RNA", at positions 524 to 776 of the family's 1533-position model. The record is from RNAcentral.
UACAGAGGGGGCAAGCGUUAUUCGGAAUUAUUGGGCGUAAAGGGCGCGUAGGCGGUCUGGCAAGUGGAAGGUGAAAUCCCUCGGCUUAACCGAGGAACUGCCCUCCAAACUGCUUGGCUUGAGUCCGGGAGAGGUGAGUGGAAUUCCUAGUGUAGAGGUGAAAUUCGUAGAUAUUAGGAAGAACACCAGUGGCGAAGGCGGCUCACUGGCCCGGUACUGACGCUGAGGCGCGAAAGCGUGGGGAGCAAACAGG